This 494-nucleotide ribosomal RNA is filed under the name uncultured Ascomycota. Its description in RNAcentral is "eukaryotic LSU rRNA". The stretch from base 164 to 317 matches the Rfam family "5.8S ribosomal RNA". The record is from RNAcentral. Lineage: Eukaryota; Fungi; Ascomycota.
CAUUACAGAGUUCAUGCCCUUACGGGUAGAUCUCCCACCCUUGUGUAUUAUACCUUCGUUGCUUUGGCAGGCCGCUUCGGCUACCGGCUUCGGCUGGUGAGUGCCUGCCAGAGAACCCAAAAUUCUGAAUGUUAGUGUCGUCUGAGUACUAUAUAAUAGUUAAAACUUUCAACAACGGAUCUCUUGGUUCUGGCAUCGAUGAAGAACGCAGCGAAAUGCGAUAAGUAAUGUGAAUUGCAGAAUUCAGUGGAUCAUCGAAUCUUUGAACGCACAUUGCGCCCCGUGGUAUUCCGCGGGGCAUGCCUGUUCGAGCGUCAGUACAACACUCAAGCUCUGCUUGGUAUUGGGCCCUGCCGGUAACGGCUGGCCUUAAAAUCAGUGGCGGCGCCAUCUGGCUCUAAGCGUAGUAAUACUCCUCGCUACAGAGUCCCGGUGGAUGCUUGCCAGCAACCCCCAACUUUCUAAGUUUGACCUCGGAUCAGGUAGGGAUACCC